RNAcentral lists this long non-coding RNA (221 nucleotides) under Elaeis guineensis (African oil palm). RNAcentral describes it as "long non-coding RNA (EGUI_LNC010070)". Lineage: Eukaryota; Viridiplantae; Streptophyta; Magnoliopsida; Arecales; Arecaceae. The record is from RNAcentral.
UCACCCUCUCUCUCUUUCUCUCUUCAUCUUCUUCCUCUCCUUUCCCCUUAUCCUUCUAUGUGUAGGUGUGUUGAUAGGCAAAAGGCCGUGCCCUCUUUUCUACCUUACCUACUCUAUCUUACUCUCUCUUUUUUUGUUAAGUUCUCUCCACUCCGUAGGCGAGCCCCCAAGGGGUCUCCAUUGUGCCACCUCCACCUCCUCCUCCUCCUCUCUCUCCCCCC